RNAcentral lists this ribosomal RNA (316 nucleotides) under uncultured bacterium. Its description in RNAcentral is "bacterial SSU rRNA". It matches the Rfam family "Bacterial small subunit ribosomal RNA", at positions 27 to 334 of the family's 1533-position model. The record is from RNAcentral.
GAGUGAACGCUAGCUACAGGCUUAACACAUGCAAGUCGAGGGGCAGUCAGGAAGAAAGCUUGCUUUCUUUGCUGGCGACCGGCGCACGGGUGAGUAACACGUAUCCAACCUGCCCUUUACUCGGGGAUAGCCUUUCGAAAGAAAGAUUAAUACCCGAUAGCAUAAUGAUUCCGCAUGGUUUCAUUAUUAAAGGAUUCCGGUAAAGGAUGGGGAUGCGUUCCAUUAGGUUGUUGGUGAGGUAACGGCCCACCAAGCCUUCGAUGGAUAGGGGUUCUGAGAGGAAGGUCCCCCACAUUGGAACUGAGACACGGUCCAA